Cyprinus carpio (common carp) is the source of this 472-nucleotide long non-coding RNA. NCBI's taxonomy places the organism in Eukaryota, Metazoa, Chordata, Actinopteri, Cypriniformes, Cyprinidae. The record is from Ensembl.
GAUUCUGUGAGAUUCUGCAACACACCCAUAUAUGUAUGAUGAUAUUAUUGAGUGAUACAGAGCACUGCAGGAAUUCAUUUUUGUAGACCAAAUCCUAAAGACAUUGAUUGUAGCAGUUCCAAUUCCAUCAUUCUGAAGUCUAUGUUUUUUUUUUUAAUGGGUUUUUGGUGAAAUGGCUGAUAUUUUUAGGUUUUAUUGGACAACAUAAAAUAAACCAGUAAUUUUGCCUUGUGAUUUUAGCUGUCUUGAAAAGAUGCUUGCUAACAAGAGGCUAUAAGGGACUACAAAGUUUUUGGAGGACAUUAAACAUCAUCACGCCGAACAGCUCCAGAUCAACAUACACGAAUGCAAAUGAGAGAGAACCAGCGGGGAACAUAGAUCACAGCCGCCGUGUGCAUGUGUGUGCGUCACAGGAGAGAUGGAGGCUGGAGUACUAAUCACUGGAACGCAGACAGUUAACAGCCCGAGAUCC